Molecule: ribosomal RNA, 254 nt
Filed under: uncultured prokaryote
Description: partial 16S ribosomal RNA
Rfam family: Bacterial small subunit ribosomal RNA
Source: RNAcentral
UACGGAGGGUGCAAGCGUUAUCCGGAAUCACUGGGUUUAAAGGGUGCGUAGGCGGUGUGGUAAGUCAGUCGUGAAAUUCCCCGGCUUAACCGGCGGGACUGCGAUUGAUACUGCCAUACUUGAAUCAGGUUGAGGUAGGCGGAAUGUGGCAUGUAGCGGUGAAAUGCUUAGAUAUGCCAUAGAACACCGAUUGCGAAGGCAGCUUGCUGGGCCUUGAUUGCCGCUGAGGCACGAAAGCGUGGGGAGCAAACAGG